This 34-nucleotide transfer RNA is filed under the name Orobdella ghilarovi. RNAcentral describes it as "partial tRNA-Cys". Lineage: Eukaryota; Metazoa; Annelida; Clitellata; Hirudinida; Orobdellidae. The record is from RNAcentral.
AGAUUUAAAAGUAUAUAUUUAUAUCAUUUUCUCU